AAAAUUGGUUCACCUACUCCUCAAUAGCUCUUACAGCUAAUAUUCUAACUGCAUGCAACUGUGCUGACUGAAGACCUGUGAUGAAUGCUUUGAUGAAGCUGAACAUGAGAAAUGUUAACAAGGUAUGGAGCCUCUGCCUGUGUGCACUCAAGCCACAAUAAAACUUGGGCAUUAUAAUAGGCCAUCACUGUCUUUCAGCCACAACCAUCAUUUGAGGCAAGAAGACCACACACGCUUGACUCAGUUUGACUUCACCACACUUACCAAUUAACAUCUCCUUGGCUUUUUCUUUCAUUUGAUUCCUGUAAAUGUUUGUUGAGUGCUUUUGUCAGUGUGACUGCACUUUCAUUUUACAAAGUCAGCAGCAACACCUACAAAAUAUCAGUUGAAGACUAUGCAAAAGUUUGUUACAAUUCCUUGAAACCACUUCACGAUAUAAUUACCUGGACACGUUUAUAAAAUUGUUACAAGCACAUCUUGUGUGUGUGUUUCACAUCCAAUUUACAUGCUUGAAACGCACAAAUGGGUGUAUUAAAAUCAAACGCAAUCUUGUGUAAUGCACUGGUAAAUUACACACAAUCAGCUAAUUGUAACAUAAUAAGUGAGCCCCAUAAGAAAACGGUGUGCGCACUAAGACUGAAGGUGUGAAUUGAAUGUUGAAGCUGUUCCAUUCACUUACCAAGAGAACAUCUUGAACUGCAAUGCGAACAGAAAACGAAAAGGUGUCAUCAUCCUCAUCUUCAGCAAAUUGAUUUGGAUUGGAUGUCCACACUUGCCUUGAAGGAGGCAAAUAACAGCAAAAAAGGUUAUUGUUUGAUCAAUGUGACAAGUAUUGAGAAGCCACCUGUUGUUGGGUAUGUGAGUGCAAAAUAGACUAGAGAUAAUAGGCUGGAAAUAAAAAUGAAAAACAAAACCCACCUGCUCUUCUGUGAUUUGCAUGUACAACACUAGGAAAUAAAUAAGUUCAUCUAAAAACUUCUUGACAGUUUUCUUGCAUUUUGGUGUUUCCGUAAGUCCACAGAUAAACU
Pocillopora damicornis (cauliflower coral) is the source of this 1028-nucleotide long non-coding RNA. The record is from RefSeq and is a predicted model, not a curated record. NCBI's taxonomy places the organism in Eukaryota, Metazoa, Cnidaria, Anthozoa, Scleractinia, Pocilloporidae.